GACGAACGCUGGCGGCGUGCUUAACACAUGCAAGUCGAACGGAAAGGCCCUGCUUGCAGGGUACUCGAGUGGCGAACGGGUGAGUAACACGUGGGUGAUCUGCCCUGCACUUCGGGAUAAGCCUGGGAAACUGGGUCUAAUACCGGAUAGGAGCCAUUUUUAGUGUGAUGGUUGGAAAGUUUUUUCGGUGUAGGAUGAGCUCGCGGCCUAUCAGCUUGUUGGUGGGGUAAUGGCCUACCAAGGCGGCGACGGGUAGCCGGCCUGAGAGGGUGGACGGCCACAUGGGGACUGAGAUACGGCCCAGACUCCUACGGGAGGCAGCAGUGGGGAAUAUUGCACAAGGGGCGCAAGCCUGAUGCAGCGACGCCGCGUGGGGGAUGACGGCCUUCGGGUUGUAAACUCCUUUCGCUAGGGACGAAGCUUUUUGUGACGGGACCUAGAUAAGAAGCACCGGCUAACUACG
RNAcentral lists this ribosomal RNA (463 nucleotides) under uncultured bacterium. Its description in RNAcentral is "partial 16S ribosomal RNA". It matches the Rfam family "Bacterial small subunit ribosomal RNA", at positions 28 to 505 of the family's 1533-position model. The record is from RNAcentral.